This is a long non-coding RNA of Oncorhynchus tshawytscha (Chinook salmon), 605 nucleotides long. The record is from Ensembl. NCBI's taxonomy places the organism in Eukaryota, Metazoa, Chordata, Actinopteri, Salmoniformes, Salmonidae.
GGGGGUUCUGAGAACGUUUUACUAUGGUUCCAGGGAGGUUCUGAGAACGUCUUACUAUGGUUCCAGGGAGGUUCUGAGAACGUCUUACUAUGGUUCCAGGGAGGUUCUGAGAACGUCUAACUAUGGUUCCAGGGAGGUUCUGAGAACGUCAUACUAUGGUUCCAGGGAGGUUCUGAGAACAUCUAUCUAUGGUUCCAGGGAUAUAUAAUAUAUCAAAUAUCAAAUCAAUAAAUCAAUGAAUAUCUGAUGUAAUCUAAUCCAUCUGUGUAAUAUUAUCCUAGCUGGUUUCCCACUGGUGACGAGGAGGAAGAGGAGAACCAAACCAACCUGUGGUCUGUGGAGUCGGAUCCUGACGUUAGGGUGAAGCUGUAGCAGUGCAGCUGUAGAAUACAGGGAGCUGAGUGUGUAAGGCUGUGUGUGUUGGCUUUCACACUGGGCAGGACUGUUCCACUUGUCAGACAUAUUCCAAUAUUCCACUUUUAUGUUGGUAACUUCCCCCAAAUAUCUACUGUUUAAACUGUAUUAAUGCAAUAACACAAUGAAUGUUCACAUCUAAUAAUUGUCAACAAAGGAGCUACAAUAAAAUAACAAAUAUUUAGGUCAUG